AGGAUGGUGCCGCUACUGCUGCUGCUGCUGGGACUCUCUGGCCCCCUGCGGGCUCAGAUCUCUCCUCCAACGAUUCUCAUCAACCUGGACGAUGAUCCGGAGCUGCGAUGGUUGCCUCUCAAAAAAGUCUUUGAUCCAGACUACUUGAGCAAAGCAGCGGCUGAAAUUAUCGAAUCAACAGUUCCAAAAUGGGUCCAUCAAGCAGUCAUCCCUAUUGUGACAUCUCUGGAACAAUAUGUUCCUCAGCCAUACGCUGGAGAAAUCCACGGUCUGCGCUCUGUCCUCGGAGGAAACCUGUCAGACGCCAUCCUCCUUAACUUUGCCUAUGAGUUAACGGCAUUUUGCACCAGCAUCGUGGCUCAAGAUAAAAAUGGUAACAUCUACCAUGGGAGGAAUCUGGACUAUCCCCAUGCUGUUCUGAGGAAUAUGACUGUGAAUUUACACUUUCAGAAGAACGGGAAGGUGGCCUACACUGGAACAUCAUUUGCUGGUUAUGUUGGCUUGUGGACAGGAAUGAGUCCCGGGAAGUUCACAGUGUCUGGUGACCAGCGAGGAACUAAGCACUGGUGGAACUGGUGGAAGAACUUUGUGUCCGCAGUCCUGUUUCACAGAUCCCCAGACAGCUGGCUUGUGAGGGAGACCCUGGAGGAAGCAGAGGACUUUCAGGAUGCAGUCAUGCGUCUGUCUAAAACCCCCCUUAUCGCUGGGGUGUAUUACAUCGUUGGUGGGGUGAGAGCAGGGGAGGGGGUCGUCAUCACCAGAGAUAGAAAGGGCCCAGCUGACAUCUGGCCCCUGGACCCAUUAACUGGAGGAUGGUUCAGAGUGGAGACGAACUUUGACCACUGGCUUCCUACUCCUGCAAAAGACCAUCGAAGGGAAACAGCAAAUAAGGCACUCAAUGCUACCGGUCAAGAUCACAUGAAUAUGGGUCAGUUGUAUCAGGUAGGUGACGUCAGCUCUGUCUCUACAUUGCUCUACAAAAAGAAUUCAUAUAUUAAACUUUUUCACACAUCAUCACCUUAACCCUCUCAGGCUCAAAUUAAGUUGUAGUUGCAGGAAUAAUCUGAUAUUUGGAGAAAAUGAUCAUAUGGGGUAGUAAUAUACAAUUCAGGCUUUUUUUGAGAGAGACCUUCAUAUGCAAUGAAUUCAGAUUUGCAACAGUGUCCUGGAGUGGUAAAUUAACAUUGAUGACUGAGUCUGAUAUGAACGUUAACUUUAGUUUGAAUGUCACAAACAAAAAAUGAACAAAACAAAAUUCGAAAAAAAAAUUCUCUCACAAAAUUAGAGACAACUUUUUGUUCAAACUUUUUCUCCACCGACAUCUCAAAACCUCUUGAGAAGGCCGUUUUUGUUAAACUGUUGCUCAAAAUAAAGGCAAACUAGAAGAUAAAGCAUGUAGCAUCCAUUGGUACCUGUUUGGGCACACGUUGCAAAUCCACAACAUUGAAAUCGAGAUGCCUCAGGUGAAAAACCAGAGGAGAUAAAAUCUACUAAUUGGCAUGUGUCAUAUCUAUACACAUUCAUGAUUCAUCUUAUGUAGUAUUGAUUUCAAAAUAAUGGAAAUUGGUAGUGAUACUUACAUGAAACUGGUGCUUAGAAAAUCUGUUUCAGUGACACCAAGGACUCAGCCAUGUUGAAAGUGAGUGAGCAGUGCUGUCUGGUGAGCUGGAGAGAAACUGUUUGUUGCAAAUGCACAACUAAGUCCUUCUGUUGUACUUCUGAGUAACGAAAGCUCUUAAAAUAUGGAUGUGGAGUAAUUAGUUAGUGGCAUUUAGCUGUUGCAAAUCUGCAACAUCUGGCUGGAGGGGGUUAAAACCACACAUUUUUAUGUGUUUUAUUUGGAUUUUAAGUCAUAAUAGAUUCUUCUUAUUCUGCACCAGUCUCAUUUUUUAGCCAUCUGAUUUAAAAAUUUGAUUUUGAAAUAAAGGUAAAGUCAAUAGUAAGGAGGUUUUAGGUUUAGUUGAUACUGGUUUUAUUAAGAGUGUCUGAAUAUUUCUAAUAUAAACAGAUUGUAAAGGUCUGAGUCUUUCCCUGCAGGUUUUGUCCAUGCCUCCCGUCUGUAACGAAAUCACUGUUUAUACUACAGUUAUGAGUGCAGCAUCUCCUGAGAAUUACACCACAUAUAUCCGACCAAAGGACUGCAACUGAGCUGGCUGGGAAGGACCAAAAGGCUUUAUCCUACUGAUCAUUCCAACUUCAUGACAUGAUGACAUGAUCUGAUCAAUUUUAACAUUUAUUUUUAGGAUGAAACUGACUUUUAAUGAAAGAAGAUAUAGUAUAUUACUGUUCUUGCCUUAACCAAUCAGCUUACAAUGUUUAAUUGUUUGAGUUCUACUUGGUUGAAAGCAGGAAAAGAGGAAAACGCUUCAUGUUUUCAUCAUUCCCUCAUCUGUUAAGCUGAACAUGGAAUAAAACCCUCUUGCUUUUAUUUUAGCCUUUUCAACCAAAGCACCCCUGGACCCCAUCGUAGUAGCAUUUUGAUAUCAGGUUCAUAUCAACAUUAUUAUCGAUUACUUUUUAAAUUGAUAAUAAAGCUUUAUUUCAUACCAUUUAAUGUUAUAUAAGCUUAAAUUAUACUGAAAAUAUUUUACUGUUGAUAGCAAGAAGACCAUUCCACCACCGUGUUGCAUCGUGUGCUGAAGCACAUGAAAGAAAAGGAGAAGUUUUUUUUUUUUUUUUUUUAAACCUUGCUUUACUUAAUGCUGCUCAUGGAUCCAAAUUUUUAAAUUAUUUAGCUGAACUCAAAUAUUUAGAAAAUGUGUUUCUAUAUUUUAACAUUGAUUUGUUUUAUUCUCUUAAUGGAUGGAGCUGGAGGUAUUUGGACUUUAUGGACAUUUCUCCUGGUAAUUAAUGGGAUAAAUUAACUUGCAUCGCCUCCACUGCAGCAACCAGAUGUGCAAUAUUCUUUUAAAACAUAAAACCCAAACAUUUAUUUCAGUCUGUAGUCCAGCUGGACUUCUGUUGAUGAUGCCACUGCAAUGUAUGUAUGACGUCAUCAUAUAAAGCACUUUGAAUUGUCAUUUUGCCAAAAUGUGCCUUACAAGGAAACUAGCUUUGCUGUACACUGAUUUACAUUAAAGGAAAUGAACCAAA
Molecule: RNA transcript, 3093 nt
Organism: Cyprinodon tularosa
Lineage: Eukaryota; Metazoa; Chordata; Actinopteri; Cyprinodontiformes; Cyprinodontidae
Gene name: N-acylethanolamine-hydrolyzing acid amidase-like
Exons: 11
Source: RefSeq, a predicted model, not a curated record